AUGGAGCAUCCUAAAACUGCCGCAACAGAAGUGGUGGUGGAAUUCCUGAGCCGUUUUCCAGAGAAUCCCACCAUUUUCUGUUCACUCAUCUCUCCUCCCCAUCCUUCCUCUCUGGCAGCCAGGAUGGGCCUGGGAUGUGCUCCUGAUGGAAAGAGGGGCCCCUUCAGUAGAAGUGGAUGAGGUGAUAUGACCUGGCUUUUCCUGGCAGCCUGCUCAGAAGGUGAAGCUGUGGAAAAUGAAGCAUCUCCUUAUCUGGUACAAGGUCAUGCUGUGGGGAUACAGGCAUCUCUUCUGUGUCUUGUCAGCCUCAAAGAUGGGAAGACAUAGUGUGUUGUGGCCUGAUGCUGUUGGGAGGACCGACCCCAAACCAGAUUUUACAAAGACACACUAGCAAGGCUUCCAGGACUGGGAACUUGUGGAUAUGAGCACUGUGAGUACCUGUUCACACUGCUAUGAUUUUUGGUGUGUUGCAACACUUUCUGGAAGUGUUUAGAUAACUUAAUGGUCCAUUUAUGGCAUCUGAAGAGACAGGAUUUGACACACCUUAGUCAGUGCUUUGACGAGGAGAACUUUUGUAUUUAAUUAACUCUGCCCUGCAGUAAUGGGUGCGAGGCUGUGGAAGGCUGAGCAGGGAUAGGAAC
Molecule: long non-coding RNA, 641 nt
Filed under: Cyanistes caeruleus (blue tit)
Lineage: Eukaryota; Metazoa; Chordata; Aves; Passeriformes; Paridae
Description: lncRNA (ENSCCEG00000008597.1)
Source: RNAcentral